AUUCAGAUGACGAGUUCCAAAUAGGGCGAAAUGCGCGUUCUGGAU
RNAcentral lists this non-coding RNA (45 nucleotides) under Schistosoma margrebowiei. Lineage: Eukaryota; Metazoa; Platyhelminthes; Trematoda; Strigeidida; Schistosomatidae. The record is from RNAcentral.